GAUGAACGCUGGCGGCGUGCCUAAUACAUGCAAGUCGAGCGAACAGAUAAGGAGCUUGCUCCUUUGACGUUAGCGGCGGACGGGUGAGUAACACGUGGGUAACUUACCUAUAAGACUGGAAUAACUCCGGGAAACCGGGGCUAAUGCCGGAUAACAUGUUGAACCGCAUGGUUCUACAGUGAAAGGCGGCUUUGCUGUCACUUAUAGAUGGACCCGCGCCGUAUUAGCUAGUUGGUGAGGUGACGGCUCACCAAGGCAACGAUACGUAGCCGACCUGAGAGGGGGAUCGGCCACACUGGAACUGAGACACGGUCCAGACUCCUACGGGAGGCAGCAGUAGGGAAUCUUCCGCAAUGGGCGAAAGCCUGACGGAGCAACGCCGCGUGAGUGAUGAAGGUCUUCGGAUCGUAAAACUCUGUUAUUAGGGAAGAACAAAUGCGUAAGUAACUGUGCGCGUCUUGACGGUACCUAAUCAGAAAGCCACGGCUAACUACGUG
RNAcentral lists this ribosomal RNA (497 nucleotides) under uncultured bacterium. RNAcentral describes it as "partial 16S ribosomal RNA". It matches the Rfam family "Bacterial small subunit ribosomal RNA", at positions 28 to 507 of the family's 1533-position model. The record is from RNAcentral.